UACGGAGGGUGCAAGCGUUGUUCGGAAUCACUGGGCGUAAAGCGCGUGUAGGCGGCUAUUUAAGUCUGAUGUGAAAGCCCUGGGCUUAACCCAGGAAGUGCAUUGGAUACUGGGUAGCUCGAGUACCGGAGAGGAGGGUGGAAUUCCUGGUGUAGCGGUGAAAUGCGUAGAUAUCGGGAGGAACACCGGUGGCGAAGGCGGCGAUCUGGGUUGAUACUGACGCUGAGGUGCGAAAGCGUGGGGAGCAAACAGG
Molecule: ribosomal RNA, 253 nt
Filed under: uncultured bacterium
Lineage: Bacteria
Description: partial 16S ribosomal RNA
Rfam family: Bacterial small subunit ribosomal RNA
Source: RNAcentral